Molecule: ribosomal RNA, 484 nt
Filed under: uncultured bacterium
Lineage: Bacteria
Description: partial 16S ribosomal RNA
Rfam family: Bacterial small subunit ribosomal RNA
Source: RNAcentral
AUUGAACGCUGGCGGCAGGCCUAACACAUGCAAGUCGAGCGGAUGAAGGGAGCUUGCUCCUGGAUUCAGCGGCGGACGGGUGAGUAAUGCCUAGGAAUCUGCCUGGUAGUGGGGGAUAACGUCCGGAAACGGGCGCUAAUACCGCAUACGUCCUGAGGGAGAAAGUGGGGGAUCUUCGGACCUCACGCUAUCAGAUGAGCCUAGGUCGGAUUAGCUAGUUGGUGGGGUAAAGGCCUACCAAGGCGACGAUCCGUAACUGGUCUGAGAGGAUGAUCAGUCAAACUAGACCUGAGAGAAGGUACAUACUGGUCAGGGAGGGAGCAGCCUGGAACAUUGGGCAAUGGGCGCCCGCCUUAUCCAGGCCUGCCGCUUGUCUGACGACGGUCCCCUGAUCGUAGAGCUCUUCAACUUGGGCGGACGCCCAGUAAGUUCAUCCCUCCAUCUACUGACGUCAACAACAGAAUAAGUACCGCCUAGCUCCGUG